GGAAAAGCGGCGGUACAAUAGUAUGUGUCCAGAUGGUGUGUACGCGGCCAGGCACCGGGAAAACAUCACCUCAUGGAAGUGUUCACAGAAAGGGAGUUAAGAGGGUCACGUAUAUCAUCAGCCUGCCCUGAAGUCUGCUCUUCUGAACUCAAUCAUGGUAGAGGCUGUGCUGUCCUCACUCCUGCCAGUAUACUGCCCGUGCCUGCCUCGAUCCUCCCAGCCUUCCUUCUUCCAAGAGAGGCAGUGGCUGAAUGGUUAGUGUGCAGGUCCUGCGUUCACCAAGUUCUGGACAAUGUGGGUUCAAAUUCUCUGCUACCACCUGGGAUUUUUCAGUCAUUGCCAAGUGGCAUAAGGCUACCCACGUGCUGUCCUGAAGAUCACC
Eriocheir sinensis (Chinese mitten crab) is the source of this 382-nucleotide long non-coding RNA. RefSeq lists it as uncharacterized. NCBI's taxonomy places the organism in Eukaryota, Metazoa, Arthropoda, Malacostraca, Decapoda, Varunidae. The record is from RefSeq and is a predicted model, not a curated record. The transcript is spliced from 3 exons.